This 499-nucleotide ribosomal RNA is filed under the name Streptococcus sp. mare10. RNAcentral describes it as "bacterial SSU rRNA". It matches the Rfam family "Bacterial small subunit ribosomal RNA", at positions 28 to 499 of the family's 1533-position model. Lineage: Bacteria; Bacillati; Bacillota; Bacilli; Lactobacillales; Streptococcaceae. The record is from RNAcentral.
GACGAACGCUGGCGGCGUGCCUAAUACAUGCAAGUGGAACGCAUUUAUAACUACCGUAGCUUGCUACAACUGCUAUAAAUGAGUCGCGAACGGGUGAGUAACGCGUAGGUAACCUACCUUUAAGCGGGGGAUAACUAUUGGAAACGAUAGCUAAUACCGCAUAAAAGGAGCUAACCCAUGUUAGCUUUUUAAAAGGUGCAACAGCAUCACUUAAAGAUGGACCUGCGUUGUAUUAGCUAGUUGGUAAGGUAACGGCUUACCAAGGCUUCGAUACAUAGCCGACCUGAGAGGGUGAUCGGCCACACUGGGACUGAGACACGGCCCAGACUCCUACGGGAGGCAGCAGUAGGGAAUCUUCGGCAAUGGGGGGAACCCUGACCGAGCAACGCCGCGUGAGUGAAGAAGGUUUUCGGAUCGUAAAGCUCUGUUAUAAGCGAAGAACAGGAGUAAGAGUGGAAAAUUUACUCUAUGACGGUAGCUUAUCAGAAAGGGACGGCUA